This is a long non-coding RNA of Triticum aestivum (bread wheat), 1427 nucleotides long. RefSeq lists it as uncharacterized. The record is from RefSeq and is a predicted model, not a curated record. NCBI's taxonomy places the organism in Eukaryota, Viridiplantae, Streptophyta, Magnoliopsida, Poales, Poaceae. The transcript has 9 exons.
UCCAUCUCUAAUGUUUUGUUGGUUGUGUCAGAAGGGAUCAAUGAUUAAUGAAGCUGCUUAGACUGCAUUUCUCUUUUCUAGCAUUUUUCCAUGUGCCAGGGAUCAUAUUUGAUAUUGUACUGAAAUAAUAGCGGAGUAUUCUAAUGAAAAGGCUAGCAAUACUCAUGGAAAACUCACUGCUCUUGUUUAAUUUUAUUUAUGCAGUCAACAUUUUGAUCAAAGGAUUCUCACGUGCUAGAAAACUAUACUCACAUAAAACUGACUAUUGGUCUAUGGAACUGGAGGCACAACCAUGUUGACAAGCUGGCAUCUCUUUGUUCUAUUCUAUUGACUUCAUGUGGCAUUAUGUAUGAAGCCCUUAAAGCACAAACCUUUGGACGCAAGGACCGUCAUGGGAUUUGGAGUGCUCAAUGGCAUCUUAAUUGGACUUCUCAAUCAGAGUCUAGGUUUCAACUCUGUUGGUUUCUAUCAGAUCUACGGGGUUCUCGGCUGGCUGGGAAGACUUGACAAGAGGCACAGGUGGAUUACUACUUCCUUGGAUGUUUUCAGAAAAUAAGUGAAAUGUGCAGACCGACAACAUGGACGGCAGGUCUUGCGGCUCCCAGCGCCCUCAACCCCCCACUGACCCUCUCUCAAUUUUGAUCUCUCCUCUACUCUUCUGGGUGGCGGUGAGAGCGGGUGUGAAACGGGAGAGGCGGCCAUAGGAGGUAUAUGAUAGGAAAAGAAUUGCUCUAUGGCAGUGCUUUGACUCGGUGACCAGAGACUGACUGGGUGUGCUUGCAGUUUGAGGUUGAUUUUUUCUGGUAUACAUAUAAUUGGAGGUAGGCGCCAUGGACGCCGCUCUUGUGCUCAUCAAGGUCCGCUGCUCCUUGUUCCAGUCCCAUGACAAGCAGCAGCAGCAUCAUGGUUGGGUUGGAGCUAUAGCGGCCAGCCACCAGGACGAUGCUGACAGCCAAAGAAAGCUCCUUCCCCACCGCUGACAGCCGAAACCGCUCUUGUGCUCAUCAAGGUUAGUCAAUGUAUAGGACUGCGCUUUUGUGUGUCCUUUUCUUCAAGCUGUCAUUCAGGAGAAGAGAGGAGCGAGGCCUCGAUCCAGACUCAGGAGGAGGAGACGAGGAGCAACACCUAUUUUUAUUGUCCGUCAAGCCCCAUUAUGCUUUGCGGUUCCAGCCACCUGAUCACUAACCUAAAUGAGUAAGUAGACCAUUAUAUAUGAUGGUCUUGCUUCCUUUUGUGAUCAUGUAUCUAUGUUAGAUCCGGUGAGAAAAGGCGGCUUCCAAGCAGAGGAUGCGGCAGUGUUUGGCAACGUUUGGUUUUCAUAAGCUAAUAAUAUAUCCCUUCCUAUCUACUUCCUUUGUGUACCACAUUGUAACUAAGCAUCUAUGUACCAGUAGUAAAGACUUGGGUGUCUGAAUAUUCUCACAAUA